Phrynosoma platyrhinos (Desert horned lizard) is the source of this 72-nucleotide non-coding RNA. Lineage: Eukaryota; Metazoa; Chordata; Lepidosauria; Squamata; Phrynosomatidae. The record is from the annotation of a GenBank genome assembly.
GCCACCGUGGCAUAGUGGUUUGAGUGUUGGAUUAUGACUCUAGAGAUCAGGGUUCGAAUCCCUGCUGAACCA